ACCUUCACCCAUGGUCCGGAGAGCCUAGCGGGGCUCGCCACCGCCUCCCGGCUCCCCUUCCACGCCUCAUCCUGCCAGCCUCGCCGCCCCGCCAGCGCCGGGCAACCGCCUCGCCCGAAGCCCUCCCUCGUUACUGUCCGCAUACCCCGGCGGCGCCGCCGCGGGAAGCGGCUCCCCCGCACCACAGCCCGGCCGGCGAGACCCCGGCCAGACCCCGCUGCCCGCACAAAAUGUCGGCCCGGACGCCAUUGCCGACGGUGAACGAGCGGGACACGGAAAAUCAUACAUCUGUGGAUGGAUAUACUGAACCACACAUCCAGCCUACCAAGUCGAGUAGCAGACAGAACAUCCCCCGGUGUAGAAACUCCAUUACGUCAGCAACAGAUGAACAGCCUCACAUUGGAAAUUACCGUUUACAAAAAACAAUAGGGAAGGGAAAUUUUGCCAAAGUCAAAUUGGCAAGACACGUUCUAACUGGUAGAGAGGUUGCUGUGAAAAUAAUAGACAAAACUCAGCUAAAUCCUACCAGUCUACAAAAGGUAUUUAAUUAAUUUAAUAAGUAAUUAAAAUGUGAGUUUAUCAUUAAUAUGUGAUGUUCUGUAAAAUCAGUCAUUCUAAAUUUUCUAUUAGGUACAAUUCUACAUUUCAUCAAUAUAAGAAGAAAAGACAUAAUAUAAAAUGUAAUGUUUAUGACUUACCAAGUAGUUGCUUGAAAACUAUCUACUACUUAAAUACAUGUAGUAUAUGAAAGAAAUGUAUCUCUUCUAUUCAAUAGAAUAAAACCUUGUGUCAUACAUUUUGAAGUAUUCAGGAUUUGAAAUAUUCAAAUAUUUUGAAGUAUUUUCAAGUAUUCAGAAUUGACCUCUGAAAAUUAGACUUAUAUUAAAUGAAUAAUCCAUUUACUGAUAAUAUCUGGUGCCUUAGCUGUUAUAUAAAAUGACAAAUGGUGGUGACCUAAGCCAUUUAAACUUUUGUGAGUUUUCAGAUAAAGUCCAGAGACCUUGCUGAUAAGCUUCUUAAUUAAAAAUCUAGUUAGAAGUUAAUAUUGUUCAUAGGUGAGUUUCCUUUUAUUGCUUCAUUUGCUCUUCUUCCUUCUUCCACAAGAACUACUAGUCUUUCAGAUAACUCACAGUACAAAAUAAGAAUGUUUCUUUAAAGGAUUGAAAAUAUGAAACAACAUAGAGAGAAAAGAAAGCAGUUAGGAAGGGGAUUGCCUUAGCAAACCAAAGCUGUUUCACGUUACUUCAUUAAUUACUUAAAUGGGAAAAUUUUCUCAGAUGCACAUUUUAGUACUUUAAAAAUGAAGCAAAUGUUUUAACAUUUAUGCUGUAUGUGAUAGGUUUGUAUAGAGUGAGAGAAUAUACAUUGUGACUUUUAUUAGAAUAUAAUGGGACCAUUGUCACAUAUGUAAUUUUAAUACAAAUGACUUUGAAUUCCUAAAACAGAAAGAAUCUUAUAAGAAAUUGUUAGUAUGUGUGCUUACAUCUGCUAUGAUUAUAGCAUUAGAUUAAAAAUUUAGAUUUGUGAUAUUCAAACUUUCUUCUCAUUUGGCUCAGUCCCAGAUUUCUUCUUAGAGCUCUGCCUUUGUACUUAUCGGAGAUUCUUUUGAAAAUUUGACAACCAGUAUAACUUUUCAUAACACUGAUAUUUCUGCCCAGUAAGAACAUGAAAACUUUGCUGGGUUCUUCUUUUUCUGUGAAUGUGAGAUAAUGUAUUAUGGGUCUCUUCUUGGAGAAAGUCUCUUCUUUUAGCACCAGUCUUUUUGCUAACCAUGAUGCCUUUGUGUAAGUGAGAAAAAGACAUCCUACCUGGACCAAUUAACUAUGCAAAGAUGCUGUUUUUUACUGGGCUGGAACCACAGUAGGACAUAUCUUUGCCUACCCCUGUGCUGGGAACCCACUUAAAAUGCACAAACUGGGUAAUUGUACACAGUGUCCCUGUCCAUGGCCCACAUAGCUUUUCUACUUUUCCUGGAUUUAGUUGUGGGUUACUCUGGCAAAUUGAGUGAUUUUUAAGUGGCAUCUAGAACUACUCAGGCCUGUUGUGCUAGCUGGAAUACACAGCAAUGCGACUCCUACUCUGUCUUUCCCAAGGUUGUAUAAACAAAGUUGUACUUAUUGAAACAUGUGAACAUGAAACUGAAUGUUGCUUUCUUUAUCUGAAUAACUAAAACGUGUACUUGAUGAUGAUAAGUAAUUUCUGUCAUAAAAUCUACUAAUCUUGUUGAUAAAGUAUUGCUUUUCCAAAUAGGCAUAUAAAAAUGAUACAAUUUUGUUUUCUUUAACCCGUGAAAAUAAAGAUGAAGACUCACU
This 2312-nucleotide long non-coding RNA is filed under the name Homo sapiens (human). RNAcentral describes it as "long non-coding RNA NONHSAT009610.2". The record is from RNAcentral. Lineage: Eukaryota; Metazoa; Chordata; Mammalia; Primates; Hominidae.